RNAcentral lists this transfer RNA (73 nucleotides) under Urocitellus parryii (Arctic ground squirrel). RNAcentral describes it as "Spermophilus parryii (Arctic ground squirrel) tRNA". It matches the Rfam family "tRNA". From Rfam's summary of the family: Transfer RNA (tRNA) molecules are approximately 80 nucleotides in length. RNAcentral also lists the same sequence under 2 other names. Lineage: Eukaryota; Metazoa; Chordata; Mammalia; Rodentia; Sciuridae. The record is from Rfam by way of RNAcentral.
GGGGUUGUAGCUCAGUUGGUAGAGUGCUUGCCUAGCAUGUGUGAGGCACUGGGUUCAAUCCUCAGCAAACACA